Long non-coding RNA from Etheostoma spectabile (orangethroat darter), 257 nucleotides. RefSeq lists it as uncharacterized. The record is from RefSeq and is a predicted model, not a curated record. The transcript is spliced from 3 exons. Lineage: Eukaryota; Metazoa; Chordata; Actinopteri; Perciformes; Percidae.
GAGCCCAGUUUCCAGCAAGUAAAUCCCCACCUGCCAGAUGUGGACAAACAACAGCUGAUGGAAGAAAUAUUGUGAACCACAGACCUGUGACUGUUUGCCAUCCCAACAUAAUGAGCAGAUAGAGGUUGAAAUGUGAUGUGUGCACAGAACACUGCUUAUUGACUACCAGUAUUAGUUAAUUUAUGGCUCUCUUUGGCCUGGUGGCAGAGCUGCACCACCUUCCUCUUCUGCAUCCAGUCGAGGUCCUCCAGCAGGAU